Molecule: ribosomal RNA, 482 nt
Filed under: uncultured bacterium
Lineage: Bacteria
Description: partial 16S ribosomal RNA
Rfam family: Bacterial small subunit ribosomal RNA
Source: RNAcentral
AUUGAACGCUGGCGGCAUGCUUUACACAUGCAAGUCGAACGGUAACAGGCCGCAAGGUGCUGACGAGUGGCGAACGGGUGAGUAAUGCAUCGGAACGUGCCCAGUCGUGGGGGAUAACUACUCGAAAGAGUAGCUAAUACCGCAUACGAUCUAUGGAUGACAGCGGGGGACCGUAAGGCCUCGCGCGAUUGGAGCGGCCGAUGUCAGAUUAGGUAGUUGGUGGGGUAAAGGCUCACCAAGCCCACGAUCUGUAGCUGGUCUGAGAGGACGACCAGCCACACUGGGACUGAAACAAGGCCCCGACUCCUACGGGAAGCAGCAGUGGGGAAUUUUGGACAAUGGGGGCAAGCUUGAUCCAGCAAUGCCGCGUGGAGGAAGAAGGCCUUCGGGUUGUAAACUGCUUUUGUAAGGAACGAAACGGCUCUGGUUAAUACCCGGGGCUAAUGACGGUACCGUAAGAAUAAGCACCGGCUAACUACGUG